This is a long non-coding RNA of Taeniopygia guttata (zebra finch), 2129 nucleotides long. The record is from Ensembl. Lineage: Eukaryota; Metazoa; Chordata; Aves; Passeriformes; Estrildidae.
GGUAUUCCAGUCCUGAGAUAUGGCUUACAACUACACUGAAAAGAAACAGGACUGCACAUUAUUCUUACAGAUUGAGCAAAGCACUGUGAAUUCUUAUUCAGGCCAUUUCUCUUUGAGGAAGAGGCCAAGGGAAGAGAAAGCUAGGUUUGAUAUAAAGGUAUCAAUGUGAUUUGAAUCUGAUUUAUCUAAUGCUUUCAAAGCAAGAUCCUUCUUGACACAGUCCCCUGUCAUGCUUCAACUGGACACUUUCAAGAAGAUAGGAGAUCCAGUUUUGACAACUAACAGCAGAGUAAUGUCUCACAAACUCUUGUCACAGGGGAUAUCCCAGGAAAGAUCAAAGAGCUGCAUCUACUCAGAAAUAUUGUUCUUGUCUACACUGAGUAUUCCUUAAAGUUUGGUCUAAAGGAUUUUGGAAAGGCUCUCUCCAUCUGACAUCUCUUCUUGACCUCUUCCUUCUCUUAAACUGACCAAAUGAGGAGUUUGCUUGGGAUUUCUUCAGCACCAAAAAAUAUUAAAAGAAAUUACUUUGAGAGAGAAGAUAUAAUUUCUGGUUUUGUUUAUAUAUCUUUCGCCUAGAGCUUAGUUCUUACAUAAACCAUAAGGAAGACAAAACAAAACCCCACAAAAACCCAAAGCCCCUAGACAAAUAAGAGGAACACAGAGCACAGUGAUGAACUCUACAGCAGUCCAUAGAAAAGACACCUAGGAAGAAUGCUACUACUAGAAAAGCAAUCAUCUUCACUACUGGUGCAGAGUGAGAGAAAAGAAAGCCUGAGGCUGAAAUUGGUAUCAAGCCUAUUUUAUUCUUUUAUUUUAUUAAAUCAUAAAAUAUUUUAAAUCAUUAAGAGGCCAAACUGGACAGCUGAGACCAAUUAUUCCAGAAAAUAGGACUCUUGGAGAGGAAACCUCUCCUGAAUAUUAGCAAGAAACAUGGGGAGCUGCCCAGUUUCAGUCUCACUGGGAAUAUGGAAGCAUUCUUGGUAUUUUCAUCAUUUUCAGCAGUAAUGGCUAAUGGACGUCUGUUAACAGAAAGCAAUUAAGUGAUGCCUAAAGAGUCUAUCUGGAACAGAGGUUAGACAGAGUUAAAGGAAUAAAGUAGGUAUUUAUUAAAAGGCCUUUAAAGGAUACACCUUGGGCAGAACAAGAGCCUGGCUGUGGCUACACCCAAGAUGGACCCAAGACAGACACCAGGUCAUGAGUUUUCAGACUUUUAUAAGUAUUGAUCUAUUUACAUAUUGAGGUUAAUUGUCCAAUUACAUAUUCAGGUUACAAAGUCCCAUCCUCCCAGAUUGCUCUCCUCAAUUCCCUGUUGUUUAUACUUUUUGGUCCUGAAGCCGUAACGGUGUCCUUGGUUCUUGGGCUGGAAAAGGAUCGUUUUGUCUAACAAAACUGUGAAGAGAACUUGCUAACACUUUAUAUGAAGUUUAGAGUUGUAUACUAAUGCAGUACAAAAUGGAAAAUAUGAAAUCUAAAAUUUAAUGCACCAAAGGAUUUCAUGCCCCACCAAAAUGUUUUGUUAUCUUCUAUAAUAAACAUCAAAGUAUACCUGUACCUUAGACCCAAGAGCCAAAUAAAUAUAUAAUGAUUUUAUUAUUGCUAUGAAAGGAUAAAUUAUAUCUGCUAAUACAGCAUUAAGAGCAAUAAAGCAUGAAGUGCAUCACCACGUCAGGCACAGAACAAGCUAAUGUCAUAUUUUAACAUCAAGUGUCCUUACAAAAAGUUAACGAAGUCAGGUUGUGCAUUUCAAAAUGAUUGGCAAGUUAAUGUUUCACAGUGUGACGCUGGUGACAUUGGAAUGCAAGAGCAAAGGGUCACAUAACAUUAAAUAGCUGACUAAGACCUGUUAGUUCUAGCAUAAGAUGUGUGAGCAAUGCAUAAAAUCUACAAGCACAUAUUCAUAUUUUAUGUUUUUAAGGUGAUAUUGGCAUGCCCCACGGUUUACAGGGAAGAAGAACUGUUAGAAAAAUAGAUCUCUGCAACCAAUUUAGCCUUCUUGCUUCCAUCAAGCACAGGAGAUUUUCAUGAUAAGACAGUGAAAAGUAUUAUCCUUGAGAAGAAAAUACAGAAUACUUGCAUGAUUUUAGUGUAAACUUAAACCCUGUGGUUUUACUUGUGCAAACUGCAAGAAU